UUGUAGCUAACGCCUAACAGAGCCAAACCUUCCUUCGCUCUUUGCUCUUCCCAACUAAGAAAGGAACAAACCUCCAACGGAGAAGAAAACAGGACAGCGAAGGACUUCGAAGGGAGGAAAACAGGGGCCUGCUACUGCGUGGCUGCGCUUCUACAAUGAAGUUCACUACGAGCACUUCAACUAUAUUGAGUCAUUGACUAUCCCAAUUCAAUAAUAUUAACGAUGUUGAAGUUCAACUCAUUCAUACGAUUCUCUAGCGUGUGUUCUCGCACAAGUUGCUAAAGAAGAUUGAGGCUUGUGACAUGGUAUAAGACCUGACUGGAAUAUCCACAAUAAAAAAUAAAGAGGAGGUUUACCAAUAUUGCAGACCAAUUUCUGGGUAAUGUGUUGCCGACUGUUCUCUAUUCAAACCAAUCCCUAUGAGACAAGAAUUGAAUUAUUACAAAGUUUGGCAUUCAUGUAAUUCCUGUGAAACCCUAUUGAGGCUACUGAUAUAAGUUUUGUCUGCAGUAAUAGUCGACUCUUUCUUAUCAGUAGGAGAGAACCAACAGCUUAAGCUUGACAUUUUUUUUGGGGUCUCUGAUGUAGAACAAGUUUAGAAAGGUUUAUGCA
Molecule: long non-coding RNA, 612 nt
Organism: Tripterygium wilfordii
Lineage: Eukaryota; Viridiplantae; Streptophyta; Magnoliopsida; Celastrales; Celastraceae
Exons: 3
Source: RefSeq, a predicted model, not a curated record